CCUACGGGACGCAGCAGUGGGGAAUAUUGCACAAUGGGGGAAACCCUGAUGCAGCAACGCCGCGUGAAGGAAGACGGUUUUCGGAUUGUAAACUUCUGUUCUUAGUGAAGAAAAAGCAUCGGCUAACUCCGUGCCAGCAGCCGCGGUAAUACGGAGGAUGCGAGCGUUAUCCGGAUUUAUUGGGUUUAAAGGGUGCGUAGGCGGGCUGUUAAGUCAGCGGUAAAAGCCCGGGGCUCAACCCCGGCGAGCCGUUGAAACUGGCUGUCUUGAGAUGUCGAGAGGUAUGCGGAAUGCGCAGUGGAGCG
This 305-nucleotide ribosomal RNA is filed under the name uncultured bacterium. RNAcentral describes it as "bacterial SSU rRNA". It matches the Rfam family "Bacterial small subunit ribosomal RNA", at positions 338 to 680 of the family's 1533-position model. The record is from RNAcentral.